GGGUUAAGUCCCGCAACGAGCGCAACCCUCAUUGUUAGUUACUACCAUUCAGUUGAGGACUCUAAUGAGACUGCCAACGACAAGUUGGAGGAAGGUGGGGAUGACGUCAAAUCAUCAUGCCCUUUAUGACCUGGGCUACAAACGUACUACAAUGGCCAAUACAAAGAGAUGCGAAGCGGUGACGUGGAGCGAACCUCAGAAAGUUGGUCUCAGUUCAGAUUGAAGUCUGCAACUCGACUUCAUGAAGGCGGAAUCGCUAGUAAUCGCGGGUCAGCAGACCGCGGUGAAUACGUUCCCGGGUUUU
Molecule: ribosomal RNA, 304 nt
Filed under: uncultured Mollicutes bacterium
Lineage: Bacteria; Bacillati; Mycoplasmatota; Mollicutes
Description: bacterial SSU rRNA
Rfam family: Bacterial small subunit ribosomal RNA
Source: RNAcentral